CCGUGAACCUUUACUACAGCGUUGCGCUGGACUUUGAGACUAUCUGUGUAGGAUAGGUGGGAGGCUAUGAAAUUUAAACUCUAUUUUGCAUUGAUCCAUCCUUGAAAUACCACCCUUUUAUUCUUUAUUUUCUAACCUAUUCCCUUUAACCGUUUUUUUUACAUCUUAUUUUUUUUAUUUUUACUUUUUCUUUCUCCUCCUAAAUAUUAACUUAUUAUUACUAAUUUUUUCUAAUCAUUUUCUUACAUCAUUCUUUUCUUCUCCCUUCCCCCUCCCUCUUUCCUUCUCUCCUUCCCUUUCUCUCCUUUCCUCCCUUCUUUCUUCAUCAUCCUCUUUUUCUUUCUUUCCUCGCCCUCCCUCUCCCGCACCCCCGGACGUACGGGGAUAACAGCCUGAUACCACCCAAGAGUUCAUAUCGACGGUGGUGUUUGGCACCUCGAUGUCGGCUCAUCUCAUCCUGGGGCUGUAGCAGGUCCCAAGGGCAUGGCUGUUCGCCA
RNAcentral lists this ribosomal RNA (497 nucleotides) under Piscirickettsia salmonis. RNAcentral's name for it is "partial 23S ribosomal RNA". The stretch from base 384 to 497 matches the Rfam family "Bacterial large subunit ribosomal RNA", at positions 2473 to 2586 of the family's 2925-position model. Lineage: Bacteria; Pseudomonadati; Pseudomonadota; Gammaproteobacteria; Thiotrichales; Piscirickettsiaceae. The record is from RNAcentral.